AUGUUGCAUGGUCCAUGUGGCGCGCUCAAGAAAAGUUGCCCUUGCAUGAUAGAUCGACAAUGUUGGUUUCAUUACCCACGAGAUUUCUGUGAUGCUACAUUACAAGGGAAAGACUCAUAUCCCAUCUAUAAAAGGAGGGAUGAUGGGGCAGAUUUGGACAAUAGAUGGGUGGUCCCUUACAACCCCUUUCUGCUGAUGACAUACAACUGUCACAUUAAUGUCGAAGCAUGCUCGAGCAUCAAGGCAGUGAAGUACUUAUUCAAGUACAUCUACAAAGGGCAUGAUAAGGCAUCAUUUGCGUUCGAGCAGGAUAUUAUCAAUGAUGGGGGAAUCAUCGAUGAAAUUCGACAAUAUAGGGAUGCACGCUAUAUAUCUCCUCCCGAAGCUAUCUACAUGAUUUUUCGGCUUUAA
This 411-nucleotide ribosomal RNA is filed under the name Triticum aestivum (bread wheat). RNAcentral describes it as "partial small subunit ribosomal RNA". Lineage: Eukaryota; Viridiplantae; Streptophyta; Magnoliopsida; Poales; Poaceae. The record is from RNAcentral.